CAAUAGCGUAUAUUAAAGUUGUUGCGGUUAAAAAGCUCGUAGUUGGAUUUCUGCCGAGGACGACCGGUCCGCCCUCUGGGUGAGUAUCUGGCUUGGCCUGGGCAUCUUCUUGGAGAACGUAGCUGCACUUGACUGUGUGGUGCGGUAUCCAGGACUUUUACUUUGAGGAAAUUAGAGUGUUUCAAGCAGGCAUGCGCCUUGAAUACAUUAGCAUGGAAUAAUAAGAUAGGACCUCGGUUCUAUUUUGUUGGUUUCUAGAGCUGAGGUAAUGAUUAAUAGGGAUAGUUGGGGGCAUUCGUACUGGACAGCUAGAGGUGAAAUUCUACGAUUUGUCUAAGACGAACUAAUGCGAAGGCAUCUGCCAAGGAUGUUUUCAUUGAUCAAGAACGAAAGUCAGGGUAUCGAAGACGAUUAGAUACCAU
RNAcentral lists this ribosomal RNA (422 nucleotides) under uncultured eukaryote. Its description in RNAcentral is "SSU rRNA". It matches the Rfam family "Eukaryotic small subunit ribosomal RNA", at positions 592 to 1018 of the family's 1831-position model. The record is from RNAcentral.